CAGAAAGACCCUAUGAAGCUUUACUGUAACUUGAAAUUGAAAUUGGACUUUAUUUGCGCAGUAUAGGUGGGAGGCGUUGAGUUUAUUCUUGCGGGAAUUUAGGAGCCAUCAGUGAGAUACCACUCUGGUAAUGUUAGAUUUCUAACUUUGGAUCAUAAUCUGGUCAAAGAACAGUUUCAGGCGGGCAGUUUGACUGGGGCGGUCGCCUCCCAAAUGGUAACGGAGGCGUACAAAGGUUUCCUCUGAACGUGUAGAAAUCGUAUCUAGAGUGUAAAGGCAUAAGGAAGCUUGACUGUGAGACCUACAAGUCGAGCAGGGACGAAAGUCGGUCUUAGUGAUCUGACGGUGCUGAGUGGAAAGGCCGUCACUCAACGGAUAAAAGUUACUCUAGGGAUAACAGGCUGA
RNAcentral lists this ribosomal RNA (405 nucleotides) under Rhizosolenia sp. Its description in RNAcentral is "partial large subunit ribosomal RNA". It matches the Rfam family "Bacterial large subunit ribosomal RNA", at positions 2081 to 2485 of the family's 2925-position model. The record is from RNAcentral. Lineage: Eukaryota; Bacillariophyta; Coscinodiscophyceae; Rhizosoleniales; Rhizosoleniaceae.